RNAcentral lists this transfer-messenger RNA (348 nucleotides) under Negativicutes. RNAcentral describes it as "JAAYSF01 sp012523975 Standard tmRNA". It matches the Rfam family "transfer-messenger RNA". From Rfam's summary of the family: Bacterial tmRNA, also known as 10Sa RNA or SsrA, is named for its dual tRNA and mRNA-like properties. Its role is to liberate the mRNA from a stalled ribosome. RNAcentral also lists the same sequence under 1 other name. Lineage: Bacteria; Bacillati; Bacillota. The record is from RNAcentral.
GGGGGCGUACUGGUUUCGACAGGGGUAGUUGUGGCAUAGGUAGCGAGUCGGGGUUCCAUUAGCCCGUUAAAACGGUGGACCUUUAAGUAAACGCAAACGAAGAUUACGCUUUAGCAGCUUAAUGCUAACGUCCUACUCUCCUUUGCCUGCGAGGCGGGAUAGGACGUCAAAAAGCAGGAUACCUGAAGCCUUAUUCUCGGUGGGCUGACUGGGAAAAAUAGUCGAGAUAGCUCCGAAGAAGCCUGUCUGUGGGCAUCAACUGAGCGAAAACUAAAACACAGAAUGCGCUCGGAGAAGCCUCUGUGGCAAUACCUUUGGACAGGAGUUCGAUUCUCCUCGCCUCCACCA